Molecule: ribosomal RNA, 462 nt
Filed under: uncultured bacterium
Lineage: Bacteria
Description: partial 16S ribosomal RNA
Rfam family: Bacterial small subunit ribosomal RNA
Source: RNAcentral
GACGAACGCUGGCGGCGUGCUUAACACAUGCAAGUCGAGCGGAAAGGCCCUUCGGGGUACUCGAGCGGCGAACGGGUGAGUAACACGUGAGUAACCUGCCCCAGACUUUGGGAUAACCCUCGGAAACGGGGGCUAAUACCGGAUACGACACAGCUUCGCAUGGGGUCUGUGUGGAAAGUUUUUCGGGUUGGGAUGGGCUCGCAGCCUAUCAGCUUGUUGGUGGGGUGAUGGCCUACCAAGGCGACGACGGGUAGCCGGCCUGAGAGGGCGACCGGCCACACUGGGACUGAGACACGGCCCAGACUCCUACGGGAGGCAGCAGUGGGGAAUAUUGCACAAUGGGCGGAAGCCUGAUGCAGCGACGCCGCGUGAGGGAUGACGGCCUUCGGGUUGUAAACCUCCUUCAGCAGGGACGAAGCGUAAGUGACGGUACCUGCAGAAGAAGCGCCGGCCAACUACGUG